Molecule: ribosomal RNA, 465 nt
Filed under: Vreelandella stevensii
Lineage: Bacteria; Pseudomonadati; Pseudomonadota; Gammaproteobacteria; Oceanospirillales; Halomonadaceae
Description: partial 16S ribosomal RNA
Rfam family: Bacterial small subunit ribosomal RNA
Source: RNAcentral
CCUACGGGGGGCAGCAGUGGGGAAUAUUGGACAAUGGGGGCAACCCUGAUCCAGCCAUGCCGCGUGUGUGAAGAAGGCCCUCGGGUUGUAAAGCACUUUCAGUGAGGAAGAACGCCUGGUGGUUAAUACCCAUCAGGAAAGACAUCACUCACAGAAGAAGCACCGGCUAACUCCGUGCCAGCAGCCGCGGUAAUACGGAGGGUGCGAGCGUUAAUCGGAAUUACUGGGCGUAAAGCGCGCGUAGGUGGCUUGAUAAGCCGGUUGUGAAAGCCCCGGGCUCAACCUGGGAACGGCAUCCGGAACUGUCAAGCUAGGGUGCAGGAGAGGAAGGUAGAAUUCCCGGUGUAGCGGUGAAAUGCGUAGAGAUCGGGAGGAAUACCAGUGGCGAAGGCGGCCUUCUGGACUGACACUGACACUGAGGUGCGAAAGCGUGGGUAGCAAACAGGAUUAGAUACCCUAGUAGUC